This 484-nucleotide ribosomal RNA is filed under the name uncultured bacterium. RNAcentral's name for it is "partial 16S ribosomal RNA". It matches the Rfam family "Bacterial small subunit ribosomal RNA", at positions 30 to 507 of the family's 1533-position model. The record is from RNAcentral.
AUUGAACGCUGGCGGCAGGCCUAACACAUGCAAGUCGAGCGGAAGAAGGGAGCUUGCUCCUGGAUUCAGCGGCGGACGGGUGAGUAAUGCCUAGGAAUCUGCCUGGUAGUGGGGGAUAACGUCCGGAAACGGGCGCUAAUACCGCAUACGUCCAGAGGGAGAAAGGGGGGGAUCUUCGGACCUCACGCCAUCAGAUGAGCCUAGGUCGGAUUAGCUAGUUGGUGGGGUAAAGGCCUACCAAGGCGACGAUCCGUAACUGGUCUGAGAGGAUGAUCAGUCACACUGGAACUGAGACACGGUCCAGACUCCUACGGGAGGCAGCAGUGGGGAAUAUUGGACAGUGGGCGAAAGCCUGAUCCAGCCAUGCCGCGUGUGUGAAGAAGGUCUUCGGAUUGUAAAGCACUUUUAGUUGGGAGGAAGGGCAGUAAGUUAAUACCUUGCUGUUUUGACGUUACCAACAGAAUAAGCACCGGCUAACUUCGUG